This is an RNA transcript of Larimichthys crocea (large yellow croaker), 1797 nucleotides long. It is a transcript of the gene named CD276 antigen homolog, with no coding region annotated. NCBI's taxonomy places the organism in Eukaryota, Metazoa, Chordata, Actinopteri, Sciaenidae. The transcript has 5 exons. The record is from RefSeq and is a predicted model, not a curated record.
UUAUUACUUGCUGCCUGCACAGCAGAUGAACUCACAGAUUAUGAACUACACUGGCAAACUCUUGGGGAAUUGGGUGUGGUUGUUUUCAGAUUUGUAUUAUGCAUCAUUAAAAAAAAUAAAAAAUCCAUGUCAGUUGUUCCCAUGAACUGUCUAAAGCAGUUGUUAUACAGGUGACAUCACCCACAGGUUUCGUCGUUGUCCUUUGGUUGCUUAACAAAACAAACUGUAAAGAAAGGAAAUCACGUUACAUGUGAAAAGAUUCAAUAAACAAAAAAAAAACGGAUUAAACUUGGUAUUUACUGUAUAAUGUAAACUUUGGUACAGUUGACUGAUCACAAAGAUAUGAAUGAUUCCACACUGACUGUUGUGUUGACAGACGUCUGUACCUCCUCAAGGUGUGGCCAGAAACAGAAAGUAUUUUUCUACACACCGCUGACAAAUGAAACGCUAAUCAUUUUUCAGUUUCGUGGUUCAUUAAACGUGUAAAUCAACUCGGUGACUUUUCUUCAUCCUGUAAAGAAAAAAAAAAAUGAAGUUUUUGUUCCUGUUUGUCCUCUCCGGACUGUUUGUGAACGCCGCUGCAGGAGAGUCUGAAACAAUUUGUGUAUCAGUUGGGGAAGACGUCAUUCUGCCGUGCAACCUGACACGUCUAUUCGACAUGUCGACUCUAAGAGUGGAGUGGAGCCACGAUGAAAACGAUGUCCACGUCUAUCGAAAAGGGGAGGAUCUGAAAGAUCAGGACAAGAACUUCAAAGACAGAACGUCUCUGUUCCGUGAAGAAAUGAGCAGUGGAAACAUUUCACUGAAACUGACCAAAGUAACUAAACGGGAUGAAGGAAAAUACAACUGCAAUGUUAGGCCCGAAAACACUGAACAAUUCACUGCAUGCUCCAUUACUCUCGAGGCAGUGCUGCGGUCAGAAGACAGUGGUAGACAUGUUAAGGACACUGGAAGCAGUACUGGUGCUAUUGUUGGAGUUUCUUUCAGCAUUGUUGUUGGGACCGGUCUUAGAAUCAUUCUACUGAUAAAUUAGAGAAAGAUCAGGAUGUGUGCAGUCGAAGUGGACUACAGAAAAACAAGUACAACGCUGCCAGAAUGACCCAGAACCAAGUGAGAAACAACGACGACCCAGACUGAUGACGGAGCUGAGCGUAAAAUUAAACUAUAACUUUCUAUACCACAGAUUUGGACAGUCACUUGGAAAAUCACACUGAAAGACAUUAUGUUGCAUCACCCACAACACAACUGGUUGUAGACAAUGGCCACACAUGGCAUCCCGGCUGUGGAGGACCGAGGCUUUGUUGUGCCUCAUGUCGAAUCCGGCACCAGUAGUGGACAGUGAAGACGGUUUCGCCUUGUUGCCACCCCUGGCUGCAGAUGUUCUCCUGUGCCAUCACGCUAUUAAAGGUUCCUUUGCCUUCCAUCUGCCAGAAAAGAUGAGAAAAAUCUGUUGAACAGUGAACAGGCCACUAAAACCAAAUGACCUGGUGUUAAACUGGAUCAUUUUUGUCUUGGACUGAUCAGAUUGAUGGCAAAGGAUCAAUCAGUCACUAUUAAAUGUUCUGCAUGUGUUCCACUCUCUCUUAUGAAUGAUCCCGUCACUGGUUCUGUCAUUCCUGAAUCUGCCCGUCCUCUGGUCAAGUGUUGCUGGAACAAUCUUUGGAGCUGUAUGUUGGUGACCAUGUCUUUGUUUCUACAGGUCUCAUUAUUCCCUGUGUAGAGUCGUCUCACUUGUUUCCAGUUUCUUGCCUUUAUUGAUACUUAACACCCACUUUUUAUUCUUUUAGAUGAAGCUAU